This 1962-nucleotide ribosomal RNA is filed under the name human gut metagenome. Its description in RNAcentral is "bacterial LSU rRNA". It matches the Rfam family "Bacterial large subunit ribosomal RNA", at positions 1 to 1977 of the family's 2925-position model. The record is from RNAcentral.
GAAAGUAAACAAGGGCGCAUGGAGGAUGCCUAGGCUCUCGGAGGCGAAGAAGGACGUGAUAAGCUGCGAAAAGCUCCGUUUAGGUGCAAAUAACCUUUGAUGCGGAGAUCUCCGAAUGGGAUAACCCAAUAUGUUGAAGACAUAUUAUACCGUAAGGUAGGCAAACGCAGGGAACUGAAACAUCUAAGUACCUGCAGGAGAAGAAAACAAAAGUGAUUCCCCCAGUAGCGGCGAGCGACCGGGGAAAAGCCCAAACCGUUAUUGUUUCGGCAUUAACGGGGUAGUAGGACUGCAAGCUUGAUGAAAUAAAUGAAAUGGAACACCUUGGAAAAUGUGAUCACAGAGGGUGAUAAUCCCGUACAUGCAAGUUUAUGAAUCAUAGCAGACUCCUGAGUAAGUCGGGACACGUGUAAUCCUGACCGAAUCCGCCGGGACCAUCCGGCAAGGCUAAAUACUCCUGAGAGACCGAUAGUGAACCAGUACCGUGAGGGAAAGGUGAAAAGCACUUCGAACAGAAGAGUGAAAUAGUCCCUGAACCCAUACGCCUACAAGCAGUCGGAGCCGCUUCGUGCGGUGACGGCGUGCCUUUUGCAUAAUGAGCCUACGAGUUACUCAUCACCAGCGAGGUUAAGUACUUCAGGUACGUAAGCCGAAGCGAAAGCGAGUCUGAAUAGGGCGUCAAGUUGGUGGUGGUAGACGCGAAACCUUAGUGAUCUACCCAUGGGCAGGGUGAAGGUUUGGUAACACAAACUGGAGGCCCGAACCGGUAAACGUUGAAAAGUUUUCGGAUGACCUGUGGGUAGGGGUGAAAGGCCAAUCAAACUGGGAAAUAGCUCGUACUCUCCGAAAUGCAUUUAGGUGCAGCCUCUGUUGUUUUGUUCUAGAGGUAGAGCUACUGAUUGGAUGCGAGGGCUUCACCGCCUAUCAAAUCCGGCCAAACUCCGAAUGCUAGAACAUGAAGACAGGGAGUGAGCCAGCGGGUGCUAAGGUCCGUUGACGAAAGAGGGAGAACUCAGACCAUCAGCUAAGGUCCCCAAUUGUAUGCUAAGUUGGAAUUAAAACGGGGUGGGACUGCUUAGACAGCUAGGAUGUUGGCUUGGAAGCAGCCAUUCAUUUAAAGAGUGCGUAACAGCUCACUAGUCGAGCGGUCCUGCAUGGAUAAUACGCGGGCAUAAGCAUAUAACCGAAGCUAUGGGAUUGUAGAUGAUACAAUCGGUAGGAGAGCAUUCCAUUCAGCGUAGAAGCAGUAUCGUGAGGUAUUGUGGAGCGGAUGGAAAAGCAAAUGUAGGCAUAAGUAACGAUAAUGCGGGUGAGAACCCCGCACGCCGAAAGAUCAAGGAUUCCCCGGCAAUGUCAAUCAUCCGGGGGUAAGUCGGAUCCUAAGGGUAAGCCGAGUGGCGAUCCCGAUGGCAAACAGGUUAAUAUUCCUGUACUGAUCAUAACUGCGAUGCAGCGACGCAGAGGUGACACUGCUGCGUACUGACGGAAUAGUACGUUGAAACCCGUAUUCUUUGAUACCGGUAGUGAAGCACGCCGGUAGAGAUGAAAGGUGAUAGUACCGCAAUGCUUCGGUUGCGCGGAUAACGCAGGUAAGCUGACUGCCAAGAAAACCUGCUAAGCUUCAGGUAAUGAUCAUCCGUACUGUAAACGGACACACGUGAUCAGGUAGAAAAUACUAAGGCGCUCGAGAGAUUCAUGGUUAAGGAACUAGGCAAAAUGGUCCUGUAACUUCGGGAUAAAGGACGCUCUUGUGAAAGAGCCGCAGAUAAUAGGCCCAGGCGACUGUUUACCAAAAACACAUGGCUAUGCUAAUUCGCAAGAAGAUGUAUAUGGCCUGACACCUGCCCGGUGCCGGAAGGUUAAGAGGAGAGCUCAGAGGCAACUCGAAGGUUUGAAUUGAAGCCCCGGUAAACGGCGGCCGUAACUAUAACGGUCCUAAGGUAGCGAAAUUCCUUGUCGGGU